Molecule: ribosomal RNA, 650 nt
Filed under: uncultured bacterium
Lineage: Bacteria
Description: bacterial SSU rRNA
Rfam family: Bacterial small subunit ribosomal RNA
Source: RNAcentral
AGGGGACUCGGGUAGUGGCGCACGGGUGCGUAACGCGUGGGAACCUGCCUUUAGGUUCGGAAUAACUCAGAGAAAUUUGAGCUAAUACCGGAUAAUGUCUUCGGACCAAAGAUUUAUCGCCUUUAGAUGGGCCCGCGUUAGAUUAGAUAGUUGGUGGGGUAACGGCCUACCAAGUCGACGAUCUAUAGCUGGUCUGAGAGGAUGAUCAGCCACACUGGGACUGAGACACGGCCCAGACUCCUACGGGAGGCAGCAGUGGGGAAUAUUGGACAAUGGGCGAAAGCCUGAUCCAGCAAUGCCGCGUGAGUGAUGAAGGCCUUAGGGUUGUAAAGCUCUUUUACCAGGGAUGAUAAUGACAGUACCUGGAGAAUAAGCUCCGGCUAACUCCGCGCCAGCAGCCGCGGUAAUACGGAGGGAGCUAGCGUUGUUCGGAAUUACUGGGCGUAAAGCGCGCGUAGGCGGUCUAUUAAGUCAGGGGUGAAAUCCCGGAGCUCAACUCCGGAACUGCCCUUGAAACUGGCAGACUAGAAUCUUGGAGAGGCGAGUGGAAUUCCGAGUGUAGAGGUGAAAUUCGUAGAUAUUCGGAAGAACACCAGUGGCGAAGGCGACUCGCUGGACAAGUAUUGACGCUGAGGUGCGAAAGCGUGGGG